UACGUAGGGUGCAAGCGUUGUCCGGAAUUAUUGGGCGUAAAGAGCUCGUAGGCGGUUUGUUGCGUCGGCUGUGAAAUCCCGAGGCUCAACCUCGGGUCUGCAGUCGAUACGAGCAAACUAGAGUGUUGCAGGGGAGACUGGAAUUCCUGGUGUAGCGGUGGAAUGCGCAGAUAUCAGGAGGAACACCGAUUGCGAAGGCAGCUCGCUGGGACGUAACUGACGCUGAGGAGCGAAAGCGUGGGGAGCGAACAGG
Molecule: ribosomal RNA, 253 nt
Filed under: uncultured bacterium
Lineage: Bacteria
Description: partial 16S ribosomal RNA
Rfam family: Bacterial small subunit ribosomal RNA
Source: RNAcentral